GUGAUUCCGGCGUGGGUGAAGUUUGCUGAAGAACGAACAGAACAUGGUUUUACACUUUUUGGGACUGAUAUUGAUGUGAUCCGACUGGAAAAAUUUUUAAUGGAGUUUGUUCUUAUGGAAAAGUCUGAUGGUGUUACCUGAAGUUGAUGAAAGUAACCGUACACAAAUUCACCGUCGCAGAUAGCUUUGACUUCAGCCAUUUUUAUAGUUCUUCAAUGUCACUGCGUUGAGACUGUGCAAGUAAGGUGCCUUUUGGCUGUCAGCACAGUUUUUUCCACAACUUCCUCAUGGUUGUUUUGCCUGCUGCUGUUCAAACAUGUCGUUCAUACAUAUUCCACUGCUAAGGCCCAAGACUCACCCUGCAGUCUGUGCAGACCUGGUUUACUCAUGAAUAUCAAGGAACAUUGCAGCUUGUUUCUGGAGCUGUGGUGUUUUCUGGGAUCUAAGGGAAAUUGCAUAUUAUCCUGUUAUCAUACUCAAGAACAAAGGUUGUUUUUUACCAGUGACUGCUGACACUGUCAGAAUAAAGCUGACAUGGAAAUUUUGUAAAUUAUAUAAAAUGUAAUAAUUUUCUAUUCUUCUAAUGGCAAAACUUUAGGCAGGUAGGCAACUUGUGAAAUAGUGCAAUUAUUCUUUGCUGCUGUGAAUGUGAAUGCUUCUCACUGGUGGCAUGUCUAUUUGCACUAAAUAUUGUACUGAUGAGGAUGUAAAAGAGAUGUGGUGCACAAGUCUCACAAAGUGCCUGCAUAUCAUCGGAUCUGUAUAGAGAUUGACCCGCAAUCACAUAGUGCCUGUGCAAGGCUGACUGAAAUUUUACCACCAGCUCUGCACGAUUAUAUAGAAAAUGCAAUAAUAAUGUAUUUGACCACUCUGUGAGUUAUUUAGAAAUAUUUUCAACAAUGAACAUGUGUUUACUUGUAGAAUAUGAGCUCAGUGCAGAACCUUUAUCAGUGUUAUAUUAUUACCUGAUUGAUGUUGUCAUGGAGAUGUUUAACCCUGCAAGUGCAAUCAUAGCAUAACUAUGAUUAUUAGCAAUGUGGUGGAUUGGUUACCUUUCUUAGAUUAUGUCCAGGCAUAAGUAAGGUACUUACUGUGAUUAAUGUUGAGAAAUUGGAUUUACCAGCCUGUGCACCAAUUUCCCGACUCUCUCUGUUGAGCUAUUGAGUUUUGGUAGAGCAGUAAGUUUUGCGGCAUACAUUUAACUGUCAUAGCUUGGCACUCCUGCUGAAUUUUGCAUGGCACCCAUCUCCAUUUUGCGUGAAUGUUUUUCGUUUAAGUUAUUGAUCUUCUCAUGAAAACAAGAUGAUCAUUUGCUUUAUUGUUUAUUAUGUAAAUGGAUGAAGUAUGUAAACCCAGGUUAUCCAGCAGGAAAUGAAAGCCUUUGAAUAUAACUACCUAAAGUAAAGUGGUCCUUGAGGCAAA
Long non-coding RNA from Pocillopora damicornis (cauliflower coral), 1422 nucleotides. The record is from RefSeq and is a predicted model, not a curated record. NCBI's taxonomy places the organism in Eukaryota, Metazoa, Cnidaria, Anthozoa, Scleractinia, Pocilloporidae.